RNAcentral lists this ribosomal RNA (403 nucleotides) under uncultured bacterium. Its description in RNAcentral is "partial 16S ribosomal RNA". It matches the Rfam family "Bacterial small subunit ribosomal RNA", at positions 30 to 526 of the family's 1533-position model. The record is from RNAcentral.
AUUGAACGCUGGCGGCAGGCCUAACACAUGCAAGUCGAGCGUGCGGCGGCCGGGGGAGUAAUGUAUGGGGACUGCCCGAUAGAGGGGGAUAACUACUGGACACGGUAGCUAAUACCGCAUACUAUCGGAUAACCCAUAUGGGAUUAGCUAGUAGGUGGGGGAAUGGCUCACCUAGGCGACGAUCCCUAGCUGGUCUGAGAGGAUGAUCAGCCACACUGAGACUGAGACACGGCCCAGCCUCCUACGGAGGCAGCAGUGGGGAAUAUUGCACAAUGGGCGCAAGCCUGUUGCAGCCAUGCCGCGUGUAUGAAGAAGGCCCUAGGGUUGGAAAGUACUUUCAGUCGGGAGGCGUUACCGACAGAAGAAGCACCGGCUAACUCCGUGCCAGCAGCCGCGGUAAUAC